UGGAGAGUUUGAUCCUGGCUCAGGACGAACGCUGGCGGCGUGCUUAACACAUGCAAGUCGAACGGGAUCCUUUCUAGCUUGCUAGGGGGGUGAGAGUGGCGAACGGGUGAGUAACGCGUGAUUAACCUGCCGUGUAGUUUGGAAUAGCUCCUGGAAACGGGUGGUAAUGCCGAAUGUUCCACAUGCUCGCAUGGGUGUGUGGGAAAACGUUUUAGUGCUAUGCGAUGGGAUCGCGUCCUAUCAGCUUGUUGGUGGGGUAGUGGCCUACCAAGGCUUCGACGGGUAGCCGGCCUGAGAGGGCGACCGGCCACAUUGGGACUGAGAUACGGCCCAGACUCCUACGGGAGGCAGCAGUGGGGAAUAUUGCACAAUGGGGGGAACCCUGAUGCAGCGACGCCGCGUGCGGGAUGACGGCCUUCGGGUUGUAAACCGCUUUUAUUGGGGAGCAAGCGUGAGUGAGUGUACCUUUUGAAUAAGCACCGGCUAACUACGUGCCAGCAGCCGCGGUA
RNAcentral lists this ribosomal RNA (509 nucleotides) under Alloscardovia omnicolens. RNAcentral's name for it is "bacterial SSU rRNA". It matches the Rfam family "Bacterial small subunit ribosomal RNA", at positions 1 to 522 of the family's 1533-position model. Lineage: Bacteria; Bacillati; Actinomycetota; Actinomycetes; Bifidobacteriales; Bifidobacteriaceae. The record is from RNAcentral.